GCCAUGUUAUUGUGCGUUAAAUAUUGGGUAUAUGUAUAAAUUUAAUUUCGCAUCUUAAAAAAGAUUAGGUCUUUAACUAUCGAAUGUGAUAUUUUAUCUAUCAUUGCGUUAAAAAUUGAACUAACAUUCCGGGGGUCGUAGGUUCGAUUUCCACCGUGGCCAGGCAUGUUUUACGGGCUUGCCCGGUGUGGAUGUACACUCAGAGUAACAUCACAAGCAUCAUAUU
Molecule: non-coding RNA, 226 nt
Organism: Paramuricea clavata
Lineage: Eukaryota; Metazoa; Cnidaria; Anthozoa; Malacalcyonacea; Plexauridae
Source: the annotation of a GenBank genome assembly